This 169-nucleotide ribosomal RNA is filed under the name uncultured bacterium. RNAcentral's name for it is "partial 16S ribosomal RNA". It matches the Rfam family "Bacterial small subunit ribosomal RNA", at positions 335 to 496 of the family's 1533-position model. The record is from RNAcentral.
ACUCCUACGGGAGGCAGCAGUAGGGAAUCUUCGGCAAUGGACGAAAGUCUGACCGAGCAACGCCGCGUGAGUGAAGAAGGUUUUCGGAUCGUAAAACUCUGUUGUUAGAGAAGAACAAGGAUGAGAGUAACUGUUCAUCCCUUGACGGUAUCUAACCAGAAAGCCACGC